Molecule: ribosomal RNA, 253 nt
Filed under: uncultured bacterium
Lineage: Bacteria
Description: partial 16S ribosomal RNA
Rfam family: Bacterial small subunit ribosomal RNA
Source: RNAcentral
UACAGAGGUCUCAAGCGUUGUUCGGAUUCAUUGGGCGUAAAGGGUGCGUAGGCGGCGCGGUAAGUCGGGUGUGAAAUCUCGGAGCUUAACUCCGAAACUGCAUUCGAUACUGCCGUGCUUGAGGACUGGAGAGGAGACUGGAAUUUACGGUGUAGCGGUGAAAUGCGUAGAUAUCGUAAGGAAGACCAGUGGCGAAGGCGGGUCUCUGGGCAGUUCCUGACGCUGAGGCACGAAGGUCAGGGGAGCAAACGGG